Molecule: ribosomal RNA, 301 nt
Filed under: uncultured bacterium
Lineage: Bacteria
Description: partial 16S ribosomal RNA
Rfam family: Bacterial small subunit ribosomal RNA
Source: RNAcentral
CAGUCGCCGCGGUAAAACGUAGGUGGCAAGCGUUGUCCGGAAUUAUUGGGCGUAAAGGGCUCGCAGGCGGUUUCUUAAGUCUGAUGUGAAAGCCCCCGGCUCAACCGGGGAGGGUCAUUGGAAACUGGGAAACUUGAGUGCAGAAGAGGAGAGUGGAAUUCCACGUGUAGCGGUGAAAUGCGUAGAGAUGUGGAGGAACACCGGUGGCGAAGGCGACUCUCUGGUCUGUAACUGACGCUGAGGAGCGAAAGCGUGGGGAGCGAACAGGAUUAGAUACCCCCGUAGUCCCUGUCUCUUAUAC